AACGAACGCUGGCGGCAGGCCUAACACAUGCAAGUCGAACGCCGCAGCAAUACGGAGUGGCAGACGGGUGAGUAACACGUGGGAACGUACCUUUCGGUUCGGAAUAACUCAGGGAAACUUGAGCUAAUACCGGAUACGUGCGAGAGCAGAAAGAUUUAUCGCCGAAAGAUCGGCCCGCGUCCGAUUAGCUAGUUGGUGAGGUAAUGGCUCACCAAGGCGACGAUCGGUAGCUGGUCUGAGAGGAUGAUCAGCCACACUGGGACUGAGACACGGCCCAGACUCCUACGGGAGGCAGCAGUGGGGAAUAUUGGACAAUGGGCGAAAGCCUGAUCCAGCCAUGCCGCGUGAGUGAUGACGGCCUUAGGGUUGUAAAGCUCUUUCGCCAGGGACGAUAAUGACGGUACCUGGAUAAGA
Molecule: ribosomal RNA, 414 nt
Filed under: uncultured bacterium
Lineage: Bacteria
Description: bacterial SSU rRNA
Rfam family: Bacterial small subunit ribosomal RNA
Source: RNAcentral